UGCUACAAUCAUUGGAUCCUAAAGACAGUAGGUCCCCGCUAAGCGGGGUUAAAAAUAGCCUACCGAGGGAAAAAGAUUUAAUAUUAUCUGAAUCCCUGUAGGUAGGGAUUUUUUUAUGAAAAG
Molecule: non-coding RNA, 123 nt
Organism: Candidatus Gottesmanbacteria bacterium
Lineage: Bacteria; Candidatus Gottesmaniibacteriota
Source: Rfam